This 436-nucleotide ribosomal RNA is filed under the name uncultured bacterium. RNAcentral's name for it is "partial 16S ribosomal RNA". It matches the Rfam family "Bacterial small subunit ribosomal RNA", at positions 31 to 506 of the family's 1533-position model. The record is from RNAcentral.
AGAGAACGCUGGCGGCAGGCUUAACACAUGCAAGUCGAGCGGGCAUCCUUGUGGUGUCAGCGGCAGACGGGUGAGUAACGCGUGGGAACGUGCCCUUCGGUUCGGAAUAACUCAGGGAAACUUGAGCUAAUACCGGAUACGUGCGAGAGCAGAAAGGUUUAUCUGCCGAAGGAUCGGCCCGCGUCUGAUUAGCUAGUUGGUGAGGUUACGGCUCACCAAGGCGACGAUCAGUAGCUGGUCUGAGAGGAUGAUCAGCCACACUGGGACUGAGACACGGCCCAGACUCCUACGGGAGGCAGCAGUGGGGAAUAUGGGACAAUGGGGGCAACCCUGAUCCAGCCAUGCCGCGUGAGUGAUGACGGCCUUAGGGUUGUAAAGCUCUUUUCUCCGGGACGAUAAUGACGGUACCGGAGGAAGAAGCCCCGGCUAACUGCGU